GAGUGGAGAAGAAAGUGAAGAUUUUACACUUCAAGCUGCACUAGAAGAGUCUCUCUUGACUCAGCACAAGCAUUUCCCUGAGCCAGCAACUGAGGACCAGGCCACUUCAGAGUCUAAUGGAAAACACAUUGCGAAUGUUCUCACUGCUCUGGAGAAGGCAACUGAUUACUGUGGUG
Long non-coding RNA from Melanotaenia boesemani (Boeseman's rainbowfish), 176 nucleotides. RefSeq lists it as uncharacterized. The record is from RefSeq and is a predicted model, not a curated record. NCBI's taxonomy places the organism in Eukaryota, Metazoa, Chordata, Actinopteri, Atheriniformes, Melanotaeniidae. The transcript is spliced from 3 exons.